Molecule: RNA transcript, 5170 nt
Organism: Grus americana (Whooping crane)
Lineage: Eukaryota; Metazoa; Chordata; Aves; Gruiformes; Gruidae
Gene: ADRB2
Gene name: adrenoceptor beta 2
Exons: 2
Source: RefSeq, a predicted model, not a curated record
GGGCGCGCACGGGACGGGACGGGAGCGGAGCGGAGCGGAGCGGUCCCGUCCCCUGCACGCACAGCGGGAGCGCCCCCGCACGCAGCCCGCCCCGCACCUGCCGUCCCGUAUGCGCGGCUCCCGGUGCAGCGCUGCCGCGGAGGAGCUCUAGGCAAAACCAAGCCCCCGCCGCCUGCCCGGGGGGCUGUUGGGGGGGGCCAUGGGGGUGGCAGGCACCGAGCUGCCCGGCGGCAACAUCAGCGCCAACCAGAGCGCCGCCGACCCCACGCUGUCGCGGGACGUGUGGAUGGUGGGCAUGGGGAUCCUCAUGUCGGUGAUCGUGCUGGCCAUCGUCUUUGGCAACGUGCUGGUAAUCACUGCUAUCGCCCGGUUCCAGCGCCUGCAGACUGUCACCAACUACUUCAUCACCUCGCUGGCUUGCGCUGACCUGGUGAUGGGGCUGGCCGUGGUGCCCUUCGGCGCCAGCCACAUCAUCAUGGAGAUGUGGAAGUUUGGGAACUUCUGGUGUGAGUUCUGGACCUCCCUGGACGUGCUCUGCGUCACGGCCAGCAUUGAGACCCUCUGCGUCAUUGCUGUGGACCGGUACUUCGCCAUCACCUCUCCUUUCAAGUACCAGAGCCUGCUGACCAAGAGCAAAGCACGCGUGGUCAUCCUUGUGGUGUGGGUGGUCUCGGCCCUCACCUCUUUCUUGCCCAUCCAAAUGCACUGGUACCGGGCAGAUCGUGACGAGGCCAUCCUGUGCUACGAAAAGGACACAUGUUGCGACUUCUUCACCAACCAAGCCUAUGCCAUUGCCUCUUCCAUCAUCUCCUUCUACCUGCCACUCGUGGUCAUGGUAUUCGUGUAUGCCAGGGUCUUCCAGGUGGCCAAGAAGCAGUUGCAGAAGAUAGACAGGAGCGAGGGGAGGUUUCACACCCAGAACAAGGAGCAGGAGCAGAAAGGGGGAGCUGGGCACCGACGUUCCUCCAAGUUCUUCUUGAAGGAGCACAAGGCCCUCAAGACCCUGGGCAUCAUUAUGGGCACCUUCACGCUGUGCUGGCUGCCCUUCUUCAUCGUCAACAUCGUGCAUGUCAUCCAGGACGACAUCAUACCAAAGUACGUGUACAUCCUUUUGAACUGGUUGGGCUAUGUCAACUCUGCCUUCAACCCUUUGAUCUACUGCCGGAGCCCGGACUUCAGGUAUGCCUUCCAGGAGCUGCUGUGCCUCCGCAGGUCCGCCCUGAAGAUGUAUGCCAACGGCUACUCAAACAGCAAUGGCAAGAGCGACUACAACGAGGAGGACAACGGCUACCCCCUGGCAUCGGACAAAACCUGUGAGCUGCUCUGCGAAGAGGGGUCCUUCCCUCACCCCGAGGACUAUUUGCACUGCAAAGGUACUGUACCUAGCGGGUAGCCUCGAGACGCGAUGGGCUCUGGCGUGGCGCACAUCGGUUAUAAGGACGAGCCUUUCACUCUAAGGAAAAACACCCCAUAAUAAUAAUAAUGAUGAUGAUGAUGAUCCUGUUCUAGAGCGCGCCUAAAAUCUAAUGGCUGCGAGAAACCUAAAACUCAGCAAACCUCCUGCAAACAGGUGGGGUUGCCUCGGGCGGGCUGCUUGCAGGAGAUCCCUGGGUGUCCAGGAAUGGUUGAGAGCUGAAUGGGCUGACCUCUCUUCCUCACCACCCUGAGCUCAUGAGGGCUCUGAAGAGAUUGCGUGGGAGCAUGGCCUUGCUUCUCUGAGCCUGGGGAUGCUGUGGGAAGUGAUUGCCUUGGCAAACGUCUUCAUCCCAACCCAUAGCCCAUCGUGCAUCACCUGAAGGAGAAGCUGAUAAAGGAUAACCAGAGGACCAGGAAAGGCUCUACUAGCCUCAGAGGACACAGAUGGGGGACCGGCACUAGCAGAGGCACUUUGCAGGAGUCACUGCAUAGGAAACUGGCUCUGGAAAGAAGCUACUGGAGCCCUUGAACUGAAGGAGGUGAAUGUCCAAAUCACCACAAAAGGUGCAGAAGGGUUUCCCUGGCAGAGCAUCCUUGGAAAGCACUUUCAAAAGGGAAGGGGGUGUCGGGACCACGUGGCUGUCUCCAGUGGCUGGUUUGGAAGGGGCACAGCAAGGUCACUGCCUUACGGCCAGGUCAGGAGACCGACAGGACGUGCCCACAGCUGCCUGUCCACGUGCUGGCUGGGGCUCCAGACGAAACGGGAAUCUGACCAAGACUGAGAGAGGAGGAGCGUGGAAGAUUGCUUUGAUUUAUUCUGUGCUUAUUUCUCCUUCUGGUGUCCUCUCUACCUACCUCUUUUUCUCUCUAGGCCUACGUGUACUGCCUGUGGGGCACAGACCCUCACAAACAAGCAGAAGUAUUAUCACAGGGCAAAUCCUGCCCAGUGCAUGGCUGUGCUGCCCAGCACGGUGCUGUUGGUAGACGGGGCUGACGUUGCACAAUGCAGACAUAAUGUGUCCUUUGUUUGCUCCUUAUGCCAACAAAUGUGCAACUGCAGUGCCUGGACUUCAGACAGGAGAAAGGCUUGAGCCUGGCAAUCCUUUUACUUGCAAUCAGUCACAUGCUAGCACGGCCAGCCACACUUGGGAGCCAAGUUUUAACACCCGAGCCCCACAACAUUAUAGAGCAUCCGUUCCUCUCCUGUAGCUGUGGAAGCAAGCAUGCCGGCAGGCUGCACGCUCAGCUCCUGCAUCAUGGAUCGUAAAAAGCUCAAUUCAGCAGAGAAAGAGACAGAGACGGAGGGAGUGACGGAGGCUCAGACAGGAAAUUGUAGGAAAAACUGAUUCAAAACCAUAGGAAAACGCGCACAUCUUAAUUGCAGGUGGUGUCCCAGCUGCAGACUGUCAUGCCCAGCUGGGCAGCUGCAGGUUCACUGAGCUGUUCCCGGAGUCCUGGGCAAAACGUGCCGGUACCGAACUGUGCCGGGAGCCCCAUCUCAGACCUUCUCUCUCGGGCUUCCAGCUGCAAACCCCUUCCCUCAUGUGCAAUCGUAUUUAUUUAUUUAUUUUCUUGCUGCUUGAUGCAAAGCUGCUAACAGAGCACCCUCCCCACAAACAUCCGCAGCCAAGAGGGGAUGGAGAGAGGGAGUGCGUGCUGUGCGUCUGUGCAACAGGAAUGGGCGAAGGGGCGGGUGUAUGCCUCGAGCGGGCCGGAUCUGGGCACGCACACAGGGUGUGCAUAAAAGGCAGAAGGAAAAGGCUGCAGUUAAACCAGAAAUACUUUCCCUGGGGUGAGUGUGCAAUUUUGAGCUUUCAAGAAUUAAGAAUAGGCUGGGCAAACCUUUAAGUUAGGAAGGACAGCAGGGCAGCUGUAGGCUGCAUAAGCUCUGCAGAGACCCUUCAGCCAGAUUUUUCUCCUGCUUGUGCGAGUAUGUGUCUCUGUGUGAAUUGCUUGCCCAGAUCCUGUCCUCACAGCGCUCCCAGCUAUAAUGAAGCAAACUUACUAUGUGUACAUCCUGGCUUUGGAUAGUUGCAGGGGGCCGUAUCCCCAGCCAGGGCAAGUUCCCACCAGCGGGCUCACAGAGGUUUAAUACCUGGCAGUCUUUUCUGCUCUGUCCAAAAGAGAUAUCCGUGUACAGACCCAUUUAACGCUGCCAGUUUGAGACCAGCAGGCACGACCCUCUCUAGACAGUGCUGUAGCUGUGCUGUAACGGUUCAUGCUCGGCAUUGCCUGUUCCUACCCAUUUUGCUAAAAACUGGCACCCUGGCAGUAACCACUCAUGGUCAGGUAUCCCAUUUCAUGGAAAGCCUGUGUGUCCCAGUGCAGGGGGGAACCUUUUCUCUGGGAGAGGGGGGCUCUCCCGUGCCCUGCUGCUCUCCCACAGCUCCCACGCUCAGGAGGGAGCCGGGGUGUCCAGGCAUCCCUUGGCAUGGCUCCCAGCUGCUCCAGGGAAGCCUGGCUUCUCCCAUACCCUUCCCUCUGAGAUGCCGCACCAAGGCUUUGUCCAAACCUGUGUGGUUGCUGAAUGGAAAUAUUUCCCAACCAAACCCUGUUCCUCAGAAGAUUCCUGGCUGGCUUUAGUCAUGUAUUUUGUACUGGAAACACUGCCCUUGGGACUAGUUUUCAGGUUAGACACAUGCAUAGGAUCGUUGUAGUUCUUUUUCUCACAAAUCCUCUCAUGUGCAAGAGCAGGUUGCAAAAAGUGAAAUGGAUAUGGUUGUUCUGGUAAUUUGCCAGCAUGGUCCAAAAGCAAUGACCUGCUUAUUGCUGAUUGCUUCCUUGCAGAGCUGUAAGAGUUGGAGAUGGAAGAGAUGUAUUACAAAUCCAUCUGCCUUUCACCCUUCAGGCUUGUUCCAUGUAUUACAUUUACUGGUGGUGUGUUGGGUCUAUUUUUAAAUGCCCUGACAUCAGGGUUAUUGUGCUGUCCUUUGGGAGACUGCUCUGUAGUCCAAGUCAGGAGUUGCUAUUACUAUUCCACCUACAUUUCCUCCUGAAAAUUUCAUUCCAUUAUUCCUAGUGAUGCUCUUCAAAUACCUGCUGCUCAUUACGUCCUGGUCAGGCUCUACCACUUGAUCCAUGCUCCUCUUUCCUCCUCCAAGAACCUCUCUGACUCCCUGAUUGCUGCCGCUCCCUGUGCUUCCCGUAGUUCGGCACAGAAUGAGCCUGUUUUUUAUUCAUUCAGCUGUGCAGAAUUUGUCCAGGAUCCAUACCCACAAGUGGAGCAGCCAGGACCUCUGGCAGUGCCCGGUGUCCCCAGCGGCUGUGGAGCUGCUCCCUCCCCCAUUGCAAAGCACCUGGGGCGCAGGAAAGGAGCAGACACAGGGAUGUGUCCAAAAGCGGACCGGCAUUGGCAAUGAGCACUUGUACGCUGCGGGGAGCAAACGCCUGCUAGGGACAGUAUACAACAAAGUCUCCAUCUCAGCAAAGCCCAAGCUGAGCAAUGCAGGUGGGUGAUGCUCCACUGUUGCCUGUGCAGCCGUAUGGGGGAUCGGUGGGGGCAGAGGUCCAUGCGGUGGCAGGGAGCUGUGGUCUGUCCUGCCUGGAAAUCGUGUCUGUGAGCUGAAGCCUCAGCUCCACGCGGAGGGAGCCCCGUGCCCUGCGAGCAGCACGGGGGCUCAGCAGGCUCAGUGCACGUGGAGUCUUUGUGUGGGGAGUCUAUGUGUACAGCGCUCGGCUGGAGCACCAUUGUGAUUGUAAGAGCUCUGUUCUUCUCACCGAACAAAUUGUUCCUACAAAUAAAGAAUGAAAAGUC